CCUACGGGAGGCAGCAGUGGGGAAUCUUCCGCAAUGGGCGAAAGCCUGACGGAGCAACGCCGCGUGAUCGAAUGAAGGCCUUCGGGUUGUAAAGAUCUGUUGACAGGGACGAAUACGCAAUGCGAAUAGUUUUGUGUAUGACGGUACCUGUUUAGAACGCUCCGGCUAACUACGUGCCAGCAGCCGCGGUAAUACGUAGGGAGCACGCGUUGUCCGGAAUUACUGGGCGUAAAGGGCUCGUAGGUGGGCGCUUAAGUCAGGUGUGAACACUCCGGGCUCAACCUGGAGACUGCACUUGAAACUGGGGGGCUGGAGGGCAGGAGAGGAAAGUGGAAUUCCUAGUGUAGCGGUGAAAUGCGUAGAUAUUAGGAGGAACACCAGUGGCGAAGGCGACUUGCUGGAAUGUACCUGACGCUGAGGCGCGAAAGCGUGGGUAGCGAAUGGGAUUAGAUACCCGGGUAGUC
RNAcentral lists this ribosomal RNA (464 nucleotides) under uncultured bacterium. RNAcentral describes it as "partial 16S ribosomal RNA". It matches the Rfam family "Bacterial small subunit ribosomal RNA", at positions 338 to 795 of the family's 1533-position model. The record is from RNAcentral.